This 298-nucleotide signal recognition particle RNA is filed under the name Amphilophus citrinellus (Midas cichlid). Its description in RNAcentral is "Metazoan signal recognition particle RNA (ENSACIG00000003967.1)". It matches the Rfam family "Metazoan signal recognition particle RNA". Rfam says of the family: The signal recognition particle (SRP) is a universally conserved ribonucleoprotein. It is involved in the co-translational targeting of proteins to membranes. Lineage: Eukaryota; Metazoa; Chordata; Actinopteri; Cichliformes; Cichlidae. The record is from RNAcentral.
GCCGGGUGCGGUGGCGCGCGCCUGUAAUCCAAGCUACUGGGAGGCUGAGGCUGGCGGAUCGUUUGAGCUCAGGAGCUCUGAGCUGCAGCGGACUAUGCCGAUCGGGUGUCCGCACUAAGUUCGGCAUCGAUAUGGUGCUCCUGGGGGAGCUCGGGACCACCAGGUCGUCUAAGGAGGGGUGCACCGGCCCAGGUCGGAAACGGAGCAGGUCAAAGCCCCCGUGCCGCUCAGUAGUGGGAUCGCGCCUGUGAAUAGACGCUGUAGUGCAGCCUGAGUAAUACAGCGGGACCCAGUCUUU